CGGGUGAGUAACGCGUAUCCAACCUGCCCCUUACCAGGGAAUAACCCGUUGAAAGACGGACUAAUGCCCUAUGGAGUCCUUUGACGGCAUCAGAUUAGGACUAAAGAUUCAUCGGUAUGGGAUGGGGAUGCGUCUGAUUAGCUUGUUGGCGGGGUAACGGCCCACCAAGGCAUCGAUCAGUAGGGGUUCUGAGAGGAAGGUCCCCCACAUAGGAACUGAGACACGGUCCUAACUCCUACGGGAGGCAGCAGUGAGGAAUAUUGGUCAAUGGGCGCUAGCCUGAACCAGCCAAGUAGCGUGCAGGAUGACGGCCCUAUGGGUUGUAAACUGCUUUUAUGCGGGGAUAAAGUCACCCACGUGUGGGUGUUUGCAGGUACCGCAUGAAUAAGGACCGGCUAAUUCCGUGCCAGCAGCCGCGGUAAUACGGAAGGUCCGGGCGUUAUCCGGAUUUAUUGGGUUUAAAGGGAGUGUAGGCGGCCUGUUAAGCGUGUUG
RNAcentral lists this ribosomal RNA (493 nucleotides) under uncultured bacterium. Its description in RNAcentral is "bacterial SSU rRNA". It matches the Rfam family "Bacterial small subunit ribosomal RNA", at positions 103 to 594 of the family's 1533-position model. The record is from RNAcentral.